UCGGGAAUUUUGCGCAAUGGACGAAAGUCUGACGCAGCAACGCCGCGUGAGGGAUGACGGCCUUCGGGUUGUAAACCUCUUUUGUCAGGGAAGAUGAUGACGGUACCUGGCGAAUAAGCCACGGCUAACUACGUGCCAGCAGCCGCGGUAAUACGUAGGUGGCAAGCGUUGUCCGGAUUUACUGGGCGUAAAGAGCGCGCAGGCGGUCGUUCAAGUCGCGUGUGAAAGCCCCCGGCUCAACUGGGGAGGGUCACGCGAUACUGAUCGACUCGAAGGCAGGAGAGGGUAGUGGAAUUCCCGGUGUAGUGGUGAAAUGCGUAGAUAUCGGGAGGAACACCAGUGGCGAAGGCGACUACCUGGCCUGUUCUUGACGCUGAGGCGCGAAAGCUAGGGGAGCAAACGGGAUUAGAUACCCACGUAGUCCCUGAGCGGGCUGGCAAGGCGCAU
This 447-nucleotide ribosomal RNA is filed under the name uncultured bacterium. Its description in RNAcentral is "bacterial SSU rRNA". It matches the Rfam family "Bacterial small subunit ribosomal RNA", at positions 355 to 825 of the family's 1533-position model. The record is from RNAcentral.